GUCUAGAAAAUUGGGCAAUGGGCGAAAGCCUGACCCAGCGACACCAUGUGUAGGAUGAAGUCCUUCGGGAUGUAAACUACUGUCAGAGGGAACGAUGCCUUGCGCUCUAACUAAGCGUAAGGUGACGGUACUCUCAGAGGAAGCCCCGGCUAACUACGUGCCAGCAGCCGCGGUAAGACGUAGGGGGCAAGCGUUGUCCGGAUUUACUGGGUGUAAAGGGUGUGUAGGCCGUCUGGAAAGUCGGGGGUGAAAGCCUUUGUCUUAAACAAAGAAUAGCUUCCGAUACUUCUUGACUUGAGGGCAGGAGAGGAAGAUGGAACUUCUGGUGUAGCGGUAGAAUGCGUAGAUAUCAGAAGGAACACCGAUAGCGAAGGCAGUCUUCUGGAAUGUUCCUGACGCUGAAACACGAAAGCUGGGGUAGCAAACAGGAUUAGAAACCCGGGUAGUCC
Molecule: ribosomal RNA, 449 nt
Filed under: uncultured bacterium
Lineage: Bacteria
Description: bacterial SSU rRNA
Rfam family: Bacterial small subunit ribosomal RNA
Source: RNAcentral